Molecule: ribosomal RNA, 460 nt
Filed under: uncultured bacterium
Lineage: Bacteria
Description: partial 16S ribosomal RNA
Rfam family: Bacterial small subunit ribosomal RNA
Source: RNAcentral
CCUACGGGGGGCUGCAGUGAGGAAUAUUGGUCAAUGGGCGCAAGCCUGAACCAGCCAAGUCGCGUGAGGGAUGACGGUCCUAUGGAUUGUAAACCUCUUUUGUCGGGGAGCAAGGCCCGCCACGUGUGGCGGGAAGGAGAGUACCCGAAGAAAAAGCAUCGGCUAACUCCGUGCCAGCAGCCGCGGUAAUACGGAGGAUGCGAGCGUUAUCCGGAUUUAUUGGGUUUAAAGGGUGCGUAGGCGGAAGGUUAAGUCAGCGGUAAAAUGUCGAUGCUCAACACCGGCCUGCCGUUGAAACUGGUCUUCUUGAGUGAGCGAGAAGUAUGCGGAAUGCGUGGUGUAGCGGUGAAAUGCAUAGAUAUCACGCAGAACUCCGAUUGCGAAGGCAGCAUACCGGCGCUCAACUGACGCUGAGGCACGAAAGCGUGGGGAUCGAACAGGAUUAGAUACCCUUGUAGUC